Molecule: long non-coding RNA, 1224 nt
Organism: Aegilops tauschii subsp. strangulata
Lineage: Eukaryota; Viridiplantae; Streptophyta; Magnoliopsida; Poales; Poaceae
Source: RefSeq, a predicted model, not a curated record
CUGUUACUUCCCCUACUCUCAGUUGCUCUCCUCUUCUGAUCCAGAGCUAGGGUUCAUCGAGUUUUCCUCUCCUUUGUGUCCCCCCUCUCAUUUUCUCGUCAGAUCUGCUCUACUUUUAUGGUUAUUCAGAUGUUAGUUUUGUACCUUUUGUUGUUCUAUAUGCAGGAUUUGCUCUCGGGGAUUUCUUGGGUUAGGGAUCUUUGUGCUCCAUCUGCUUGUUUGGGCAUGGUUUGCCCUAUCUGCCAUAAUCCGGAUGGACCCUGUGAGCCAGGUGAUCUAGUUCUCCAGGAGUUUAGGCACAUGUACAUUCCCUGCAAUUUUAGAGCUUUUGUAGCUUAUUACAUUGAUGAGCAGAGGGAUGCUGCUACGAUGUUACAGUACAAGAAGGUUGAGCCUGCUCUUCUUACUUAUGAAGGAAGGUCUUACCUUGCUUUGUUUAAGCAUUGACCCAAUUUUACCAAGUUUUAUGGCAAUGCUUGGUUUGAGUUAACUCAUGACUAUGGUCUUCAUGCUGGAGAACGGAUAGUGUUCUCUCUGGACCAUAUGACCUUUGAUCUGAAAGUGGACACUUAUCAGGGUGCAGAAAGGCUGCUUCCUAUUCUUUGUGUUGUAUGUUGGCUCUGCUGUCUUCUCUCGGCAAAUAGAGUUUAACUAUCAUGAGGCUCGCUUCUUUCUUCGGUGUCUCUUUCAAGACAAUUUCCUACGUUGCCGCCCAUUUGUGCAUCUCAUUACUGUCACCAACAUCAACAAGCAUAUCAUGAAAUUCCCCAAGGCUGUUGUUUGAAGAUUGAAGACAUUUGUUGAUGUGCCUAUGAAUGCGUUUGUCACUCUAGAAGCUAUGGAUGAGGGUGUGCAUGUAAUCACUCCUUCGUCAUUUUCUAUUUGCAAGCAAGAUGGGAGGAUGGGGAUUUAGAAGAACACUUUCAACGAGUUCUUCUCAGCCGCUUCUCUUAUUGAAGGCAAUGUUGUUCUCAUCACAUUCAAAGAACCCAUUUACAGACCGGUGUCCAUUGUGUUGCAACAGAUCAUCUAUGUGCAAAUGCUAUGCUUCUGACCUUGAUGCAAGUGAUAGUGGUAGGAAUGACUGUUGGUGGUUCCGAGCUUGAUCUUUUGGGGGCAAACUAUGUUAGUUAUAUGCAAUUAUGUAUGGUCUUCCUUUGGAAUUAUGUUCAGAUGCUUAGUUAUGUAUGAACUAGCAGGGUGACACGCACAUUUGCGCGACUA